Molecule: ribosomal RNA, 661 nt
Filed under: uncultured bacterium
Lineage: Bacteria
Description: bacterial SSU rRNA
Rfam family: Bacterial small subunit ribosomal RNA
Source: RNAcentral
AAGUCGAACGAGGAGUUCUUCUGUAGCAAUACAGAGGCGCUCCUAGUGGCGUACGGGUGAGUAACACGUGGGCAACCUGCCCUCGAGCUCGGGAUACCCUCUCGAAAGGGAGGCUAAUACCGGAUACGUUCCUCGGGUCGCGAGACCUGGGGAGGAAAGGUGGCGAAAGCUGCCGCUCUUGGAGGGGCUCGCGGCCUAUCAGCUAGUUGGUGAGGUCACGGCUCACCAAGGCGAUGACGGGUAGCUGGUCUGAGAGGACGACCAGCCACACGGGAACUGAGACACGGUCCCGACUCCUACGGGAGGCAGCAGUGGGGAAUUUUCCGCAAUGGGCGAAAGCCUGACGGAGUGACGCCGCGUGGGGGAUGAAGGCCUUCGGGUUGUAAACCCCUGUCAGAGGGAAAGAAGGAUCGGCGCGUGAAUAUCGCGUCGAUCUGACGGUACCUUCAGAGGAAGCCCCGGCCAACUCUGUGCCAGCAGCCGCGGUAAGACAGAGGGGGCAAGCGUUGCUCGGAAUCACUGGGCGUAAAGGGCGCGUAGGCGGGAUGGCAAGUCGGUCGUGAAAUCCCUGGGCUCAACUCAGGGGGGUCGGCCGAUACUGCCGUUCUUGAGGGAUGCAGAGGAGACUGGAAUUCCCGGUGUAGCGGUGAAAUGUGUAGAG